GAGAGAGAGCAGGGGAGGGGCAGAGAGAAGGAAAGACAGAAUGCCAAGCCGGCUCUGCACCGCCAGUGCUGUUUGUGAGAAGAAUGGGGGAAAAGAGCAAUCCUGGCAGGGAAGCCAGCUUGGUGACAGGUGCUAUCCUCUUGCUGGAGACAGAGGAGUGAACACGUGUCUGUUCUCAAGAAGCUCCCAUUCCCAUGGGGGAGACACACGCUAAGCAACUUCUAUAGAAAAAUCCACUUUCAGGAAGAGUAUUCGUGGGUCACAGUGAUGCUUUCUUCCAUGACCUUGGAAAGUUUGGCCAUGCAGAGCGUGAGCUAUGGAGCUGGAGUACCUGGGCUUAAAACCAGGCAUUUCUAGCCCUGGCCUCACCGGCCGCAUGACUUGAGGCCUGACACUUAGUA
This is a long non-coding RNA of Prionailurus viverrinus (fishing cat), 401 nucleotides long. RefSeq lists it as uncharacterized. The transcript has 3 exons. The record is from RefSeq and is a predicted model, not a curated record. NCBI's taxonomy places the organism in Eukaryota, Metazoa, Chordata, Mammalia, Carnivora, Felidae.